CCCUUAGAUGUCCUGGGCUGCACGCGCGCUACACUGGAAGUUACGGAUUGAGAUACUACCUUGUCCGAAAUGGUCCGGGUAAUCACCUAAAAGCUUGUCAUAAUUGGAAUGGAUUAUUGUAACUAGUAAUCCUGAACGAGGAAUUCCUAGUAAGUCCCAGUCAACAGCUGGUACUGAUUACGUCCCUGCCCUUUGUACACACCGCCCGUCGCUACUACUGAUUGGACGUUUAAGCAAGAUUUUUAAACACUGACAGUGUGUAGUUCACGCUAUACUACAGUGAGAAGAAGAAGAUCGAGCUUACUUGUCUAGAGGAAGUAUAAGUCGUAACA
Molecule: ribosomal RNA, 332 nt
Filed under: uncultured eukaryote
Lineage: Eukaryota
Description: partial 18S ribosomal RNA
Rfam family: Eukaryotic small subunit ribosomal RNA
Source: RNAcentral